GAGAAUGCCGGUGUGAGUAGCGAAAGACGGGUGAGAAUCCCGUCCACCGAUUGACUAAGGUUUCCAGAGGAAGGCUCGUCCGCUCUGGGUUAGUCGGGUCCUAAGCUGAGGCCGACAGGCGUAGGCGAUGGAUAACAGGUUGAUAUUCCUGUACCACCUAUAAUCGUUUUAAUCGAUGGGGGGACGCAGUAGGAUAGGCGAAGCGUGCGAUUGGAUUGCACGUCUAAGCAGUAAGGCUGAGUAUUAGGCAAAUCCGGUACUCGUUAAGGCUGAGCUGUGAUGGGGAGAAGACAUUGUGUCUUCGAGUCGUUGAUUUCACACUGCCGAGAAAAGCCUCUAGAUAGAAAAUAGGUGCCCGUACCGCAAACCGACACAGGUAGUCAAGAUGAGAAUUCUAAGGUGAGCGAGCGAACUCUCGUUAAGGAACUCGGCAAAAUGACCCCGUAACUUCGGGAGAAGGGGUGCUCUUUAGGGUUAACGCCCAGAAGAGCCGCAGUGAAUAGGCCCAAGCGACUGUUUAUCAAAAACACAGGUCUCUGCUAAACCGUAAGGUGAUGUAUAGGGGCUGACGCCUGCCCGGUGCUGGAAGGUUAAGAGGAGUGGUUAGCUUCUGCGAAGCUACGAAUCGAAGCCCCAGUAAACGGCGGCCGUAACUAUAACGGUCCUAAGGUAGCGAAAUUCCUUGUCGGGUAAGUUCCGACCCGCACGAAAGGCGUAACGAUUUGGGCACUGUCUCAACGAGAGACUCGGUGAAAUCAUAGUACCUGUGAAGAUGCAGGUUACCCGCGACAGGACGGAAAGACCCCGUGGAGCUUUACUGUAGCCUGAUAUUGAAAUUCGGCACAGCUUGUACAGGAUAGGUAGGAGCCUUUGAAACGUGAGCGCUAGCUUACGUGGAGGCGCUGGUGGGAUACUACCCUAGCUGUGUUGGCUUUCUAACCCGCACCACUUAUCGUGGUGGGAGACAGUGUCAGGCGGGCAGUUUGACUGGGGCGGUCGCCUCCUAAAAGGUAACGGAGGCGCUCAAAGGUUCCCUCAGAAUGGUUGGAAAUCAUUCAUAGAGUGUAAAGGCAUAAGGGAGCUUGACUGCGAGACCUACAAGUCGAGCAGGGUCGAAAGACGGACUUAGUGAUCCGGUGGUUCCGCAUGGAAGGGCCAUCGCUCAACGGAUAAAAGCUACCCCGGGGAUAACAGGCUUAUCUCCCCCAAGAGUUCACAUCGACGGGGAGGUUUGGCACCUCGAUGUCGGCUCAUCGCAUCCUGGGGCUGUAGUCGGUCCCAAGGGUUGGGCUGUUCGCCCAUUAAAGCGGUACGCGAGCUGGGUUCAGAACGUCGUGAGACAGUUCGGUCCCUAUCCGUCGUGGGCGUAGGAAAUUUGAGAGGAGCUGUCCUUAGUACGAGAGGACCGGGAUGGACAUACCUCUGGUGUACCAGUUGUCGUGCCAACGGCAUAGCUGGGUAGCUAUGUGUGGACGGGAUAAGUGCUGAAAGCAUCUAAGCAUGAAGCCCCCCUCAAGAUGAGAUUUCCCAACUUCGGUUAUAAGAUCCCUCAAAGAUGAUGAGGUUAAUAGG
This 1572-nucleotide ribosomal RNA is filed under the name Staphylococcus aureus. Its description in RNAcentral is "partial 23S ribosomal RNA". It matches the Rfam family "Bacterial large subunit ribosomal RNA", at positions 1290 to 2860 of the family's 2925-position model. The record is from RNAcentral. Lineage: Bacteria; Bacillati; Bacillota; Bacilli; Caryophanales; Staphylococcaceae.